This is an RNA transcript of Hemicordylus capensis (graceful crag lizard), 3899 nucleotides long. It is a transcript of the gene named tubulin tyrosine ligase like 8, with no coding region annotated. NCBI's taxonomy places the organism in Eukaryota, Metazoa, Chordata, Lepidosauria, Squamata, Cordylidae. The record is from RefSeq and is a predicted model, not a curated record. The transcript is spliced from 16 exons.
GGGAAAGGGUCUAAGGGAGGAGCCUCAAGUGUCACCAAGUGGAGGAGCUCUGCUGUUCCCAGGAGGGAUUAAUGCAAAGCAUUGAAGCAACAAUGACAGGAUGAACCGGGUUCAUGCAGAAAGAAAACCAUUCCUUGUGCCUAUAAAUGAUGAAACAAAACACGAAGGAGAAAAUGGAUUGACAAAUGCUGAACUAUCUCCUCAAAAAAUCCUGAAAAUUGCUUUGGACAACUGCCUUCCUGUAGUUUCAUGCCACCAUGGACUAUUUCCUGAACUAACCCAGAGACCUGCAGAUGAGUUGCCUCCUCCCCCAAAAAUAGACAAAUACAAACUGGCAAGAUUUUUAACAGAAAAGGCUAUCAGGGAAAAGAGAAUUUUUACCAUCUGUGGACCUUACCCAAUAAUCCGUGCAGCUUUAAGGAAGAGAGGAUGGGUGGAAAGAAAACAAGUCCAGAAAUUUGAUCCGCAGGAACAUAAGGAUGAAGGGAAUGAAACAGAACAUGAGAGUGUUGGCAAAACUGGUAGAAAAAACAAAACUGCCUUGCGUGAUGAGGAAGGUCAGUCUAACAAUUCAAGUGACAUCCAUGACCUAAUGGUAAGAUUCCAGAGGUUGGUAAGAAAUGAAGAAACUACCUUUUACUGGACUAUUAAAAAGGAUGCAGUUGAUUACUAUAAUCUCCACAUUGAUCAGAUGCUGAACCAUUAUGCAAGAACUGGCUCCUUUACAACGAAAAUUGGACUUUGUUUGCACAUGAGGAAUUUGCCAUGGUACGUGUCAGCAAACCCAAACACUUUCUUCCCUCGAUGUUAUGGCAUUUGCAUGGAUGAUGAGAAAUAUGAUUUUAUUGAGGACUUCAGGAAAACAGCAGCAUCCUGCAUAAUCAAAUGGGUUGUCAAUUUACAUAUUUCUGGUGAUAAUCAUAAUUGGCCAUGUAAAGAGAAUGCUGAUAAACAAGGUGGGACACAGGCAAAAGAUUCAGAUGAAAAAAAAGUCAAGGAGCUACCUGGGGAACUAGUAGAAAUGGCUUGCAAAGUGUGUGAAAUCUACCUUGGGCAAAUUGAGCACGAGGACAUUGACACAGAAAUAGACAGUGAUCCGGUACUUUCUGACAGGGAAUGGAAUCAGUUCAUUGAACAGUACUACUCUCUUAUUCAUGAAGGCGCAGUGAUUUGUAAUGCAGACAAUUAUUUCGCUCAGUGUCAAAACAUUUUGCAAAAAAUUAUGAUAGUAAACCCACAGCAAGGUAUUGAUGGUAUCCACAAUAUCUGGAUUAUUAAACCUGGAGCAAAAUCCCGUGGCAGAGAAAUAGUAUGCAAGAAUCGGCUGGAGGAUAUACUGAAACUAGUUGAACCAACUGAUCAGUUUCCAAUAAAGGAUCAUAAAUGGGUGGUCCAAAAAUAUAUUGAAACACCACUACUGAUUUACGAUACAAAAUUUGAUAUUAGACAGUGGUUUCUUGUAACAGAUUGGAAUCCUCUGACUAUAUGGUUCUACAAAGAAAGUUAUCUGAGGUUUUCCACUCAGCGUUUUUCCUUAGACAAUCUGCACAGCUCCAUUCACCUUUGCAAUAAUUCAAUCCAGAAAAAUUAUAUGAAUGCAAAAGAUCGCAGUUCUCAGUUGCCAUAUCACAAUAUGUGGUCAAGCAGCAGAUUCCAAGAGUACUUGCAAAAGAGAGGUCUUGGCCAUAUCUGGCGCAAUAUUAUCUACCCAUCCAUGAAGAAAAUUUUAAUCUGUACAAUGAGGAUGGUUCAGGACCAAGUUGAGCCACGCAGGAGCAGUUUUGAACUCUACGGGGCAGAUUUUAUUCUUGGAAGCGACUUUAAACCUUGGUUGAUUGAAAUCAAUAGUAGUCCAACCAUGUAUCCUUCUACCCCAAUAACAUCAGAUCUGUGUGCUCAGGUUCAAGAAGACACUAUUAAAGUAGUUAUUGACAGAAAGCUGGACAAAAACUGUGAUGUUGGAAAAUUUGAACUCCUUUGGAGACAGUCUAUGUUGGAUCUGCCACCAUUUAAUCCUGCAGACCUUUUUGUGGAGGGAAUUGGUGUUAAGAGACUGAAAAAGCACAUGGCUACCUUCAGUAAUUUUAAUUUUUUUGAACCACUGAUGGGUGCAACACAGCCUGCAACUAAUCAAGAAAAUAAGAGAGACUCAGUGGUAUCUGUCAAUGAAAAACACCAUGUAAAAGUAAAAACUGGAAAUAGUACUCUGUUCACUUUGCCAAAGACCCUGAGGAAAACACAAGAGAAAGGUUCUAAAGUAAAAACCACCCACAGAAAGUCUGUCAAAACCAUAGACUUCCCUCGCCUAGUUGAAGCCCCAGAAUCAACAUCCAUGUGUGAUAAAAAAAAGACCAAAUCGAUGAAAGAGACAAACAAUCAGAAUGGAGGUCAAGCAGUCAAUAGCUCUCCAAAGCCGCGUGCGUUAGACUGGGCAUUACUUCAGCCCUCUAAAGACACAGGUCUGCAGAACACAAACAAGAAGACUCCAUGCCUAAUUUGUGGAGAUGGUUUCCGGUUGGAGAAAGCUUGUAAACACUGCAGCUCUUUUUGUGCAACUGUAUUGCAAGGAGAGUCAUAUUUACCUAUGAGUGCGUGUUCCUCUCCUGAAAAGAUGGCAAAGAAAAGGCUGAGUGUCCCAAGUUACCGACUUCCAAAAUACUUUUGAAUCUACUGAAAGUGCUUUGAUAAAGUUUUUUUUUUACAAAAACAAUUCCCUAUAGCUAAGACAGAGCUCAAGCACCUUUCUUGCAUAUAACAAAAAACCCCAAAUGCCGAAAAGCCCCAUUUAUUCUCAAUAGCUAUAGCCAAUUCGUGGCUAGAACCUAUGGAAAUCAGUGUUUUGACUAGAAGUCUAGAAUUCCAGACUAGUGUAGUGCCAAAUUAGACCUUACAAGAAAAUGCAUGUAACAUUACAGCCCUAUUACACAUUAUUUCAACAUUUGUACAAAGAAUGUACAGUGUAUACAUAUAUAGAUCUGUACACAGGUACAAUUAUUCACAAGUUAGGCUGAACGCAGGUACAGCAGCACUCUUCUUACCUAUACCAUUUGAGGGGCCCAUACCCAGGUUCACUUUUAAAAUGAAUGCAAGUACAGCCAUUCACACAAGAAUAUGUAACUGUAUACAGACUUGUGUAAAUUCACAAAGCAUAGUUUCUGAAUAGGGCUUACCUGGAUGGCCAUAGGGUAACCAGAAAUGCCAUUUCCAGAGGGAUGAUCAGGAUCAGAGAAGCAGUGGGGGAAGAAUAACAAAUUGGGUGGUAGAACUUACUUUUAUACUAGCUAUGAAGCUGGGUGGAUCAACAGGAAAAAAAGAGGAAUCUAUUCCCCAUUACAUCCUUUUAUGAUCCCUCUAGUGGUGAUAAGUCUCCAAGAACACUAGAAUCUUGCAGAGAAGCAAGAUCUUGUCACUUGGCUUCAUUAGUUAAUCAAUCUGUGCAGGAAUGCCCUCAAACGCUCUGUUACACUGUUAGGGAUACCAAAGGAGACCAUAAAUCUGCAUUUCUGCUCUAUGUGAAAUCUCAGAAUGAAACGGGAAGGAACUUGCUCCUCCCUGGUAGCUGGAAGCACACUAAACCUGCCUCAUACUUUGAGAACUCAGGUGUUAGAAGUUAGAACUCAUGUAGAAUUCCAGCUUGGAACAAGUGUGUUCCAAAUUCCACACUUGAACUGGGAAUAGUAGGUGACGCAGAAUCUGAAGUACAUUCAUGGUGAGCUUAUCAGGGUAGCACAGGGCCAUGAAAUCAUAGUCAUCAGGUCAAGGGUCAAAGAUGGAUUUUCCAGAUGGAGGCACGGGAGUAUCUUCUGGGGCUCCAGCUGCAGAAAAACCCACAUCCUUACAUGGAGGAUAUCAAAUUGCAGAACUUUUUGAUUCGAAUGGGCUCCAGUUCCAGAAACUUC